This 828-nucleotide ribosomal RNA is filed under the name uncultured archaeon. RNAcentral describes it as "bacterial SSU rRNA". It matches the Rfam family "Archaeal small subunit ribosomal RNA", at positions 41 to 878 of the family's 1478-position model. The record is from RNAcentral.
UGAUAAGCCAUGCGAGUCGAGAGGGUUCGGCCCUCGGCGUACUGCUCAGUAACACGUGGAUAACCUGCCCUAGGGAAGGGGAUAACCCCGGGAAACUGGGGAUAAUACCCUAUAGGUUACAGAUGCUGGAAUGCUCUGUAACCCAAAGUUCCGGCGCCCUAGGAUGGAUCUGCGGCCGAUUAGGUUGUUGUUGGGGUAAUGGCCCAACAAGCCAGUAAUCGGUACGGGUUGUGGGAGCAAGAGCCCGGAGUUGGAUUCUGAGACACGAAUCCAGGCCCUACGGGGCGCAGCAGGCGCGAAAACUUUACAAUGCGGGCAACCGUGAUAAGGGAACCUCGAGUGCCUGUAAAUGCAGGCUGUUUAGGUGUUUAAAACGCACCUGGAGAAAGGGCCGGGCAAGACCGGUGCCAGCCGCCGCGGUAAUACCGGCGGCUCGAGUGGUGGCCACUUUUAUUGGGCUUAAAGCGUUCGUAGCUGGGUUGUUAAGUCUCUUGGGAAAUCUGGCGGCUUAACCGUCAGGCGUCUAAGGGAUACUGGCAAUCUUGGAACCGGGAGAGGUGAGGGGUACUUCGGGGGUAGGAGUGAAAUCCUGUAAUCCUCGAGGGACCACCUGUGGCGAAGGCGCCUCACCAGAACGGCUUCGACAGUGAGGGACGAAAGCUGGGGGAGCAAACCGGAUUAGAUACCCGGGUAGUCCCAGCCGUAAACUAUGCGCGUUAGGUGUAUCGGUGACCACGAGUUACCGAGGUGCCGAAGGGAAACCGUGAAACGUGCCGCCUGGGAAGUACGGUCGCAAGGCUGAAACUUAAAGGAAUUGGCGGGGGAGCA